AGUGAUGAUAGAGGUGCGAACUUCAAAAGUAUGUAAUCGGAGAAGAAAGAGCUUCCGAGAUGAUUACGGAAAGGGGAGGAUCGCCGAAGUAAAAAAAAGUCUCUUUUUCUUUUUUUUACUGGUUCUGCGUUUAAGAAAUGUAGGACUGUCAGGUUGUCUUUGUGCUGCCUGGAGAGCUAUCUCACCG
Molecule: non-coding RNA, 187 nt
Organism: Bacillus sp. CHD6a
Lineage: Bacteria; Bacillati; Bacillota; Bacilli; Caryophanales; Bacillaceae
Source: Rfam